Molecule: long non-coding RNA, 1335 nt
Organism: Gymnodraco acuticeps
Lineage: Eukaryota; Metazoa; Chordata; Actinopteri; Perciformes; Bathydraconidae
Exons: 3
Source: RefSeq, a predicted model, not a curated record
UGAAGGUCAAAGCGCAGACUCCCCUUAAACGACUUUAAUAGAGGCUGAUGAGGACAAAUGGAGGACUGGAGAUCAUUCGGAAUACUAAUGGAGGCUAGAAAUCCUGCUCUCCGUUCAUGCAUGCUGUGUCUGAAUCUUCUAUGUUGUCCUCAAUCUCAACACAGAGUCAGUUAGGAUUUAAAUUCCUCUCUUUUACCCUUUCGGCUGUUGCUCUGUAAGUAUCCAUUAGAUACAGUUUGUAAAAUUAGAUUCAAACAUCUGCGCCUGAAAGCUUUGGCAAAGGAAAUCAUUCUUCCUUAACUACCAGUCAGUGAUUUCUGCCGAAGGUAAAUAGAUUCCGAGAAGAAGGAGGUCGGAAAUCUUCUUCGGGCCGUAAUUGCCAAGACCUCAAUUGCUCUCAGAUUCGUCCUUCUCCAUGCCAAACUACACCAGAGUUACCGAGAUGGUAAUCGGUUUGCUUGCGGCUGUUUGCAGUUCUUCACAUCUGACGUGGCGGACUACCGGCUCACAGGAGCUGGACGGGCAGCGUUGGCCUCUGACUCGAGGGGGGCCGUGAUCAUUUCCUGUGCGCCCCUCUGCCCCUUCUCCAGCUGACAGUGGCUCUAAUCCUCUCGGCUGCACUCUGUCCUGCUUUUCUGUCAAAUGAAAUGCAUUGCAGUUGAAUUAUGAAGUUAAUAAACAACCCCUAGCAUGUUACUGAAAUGACAGCAGACCAAUAAUGUCACUAUUUGUUCCAGUGUUGACUUCAAAACACGCAGAAGCUGAUAAAACAGGUGGUUAAUAGAGAGGAGUGAGAUAAGAUAUAUGAUGUAAUGUAAAAUAAUAUACAUAAUACAAGAAAUAUAAUGUUAUACUAGUUUAGUCUGUUGUUACAAGUAGCCCUACUUUAAGAAUACAACUUUUUAACUUCCUAAAUAAAUGUCUUGCAGUAGGCUACAGCAAAUUAGGAAUUUACAUACACAACGUGAUGCAUUGUCAUAGAGUUAGCUACCCAACAGUUAUUACAGUUAACUCAUUAAACAAAAAAUGCUGCUUACAACAAAUUAAUACAAUAUAAAUACAGAAAUAUGAUUUAGCCUUAAAUCCACUGUAAUUAUGUAUUAUAUUUUACUAUUUUACAUCAGCACACAGUUUAUAACAUCGUAUUUAUCCUAGCUCCAAACAGGAAAAUUAAGUUAGAUUCUACAGGUGUGUGACUGAGGAAAGCGCACGUGCACGACUUUGUUUAUCUUGGCAUCUCUCUAAUGCGCAUCACUUAUCCUGUGUUCAUCCAUGUUUUACUGUUACUGCUAGCUAGAGCAUCUGUGAAAUAAACUGACAGUAGCUUACAGAGUU